GCUGACGGUCCUGUCCGUCUCUGUUCCUCAGGACUAAAGCCUGUCGUUACUUCGACCAGGGUCGGGGCACCUGCCCGUUUGGCUCCAACUGCUUCUACAAACACGCCUUCCCUGACGGACGGCUGGAGGAGCCCAGAGGAGACCAGCAGGGUGCAACGGCAGGAACAGGAACUCGAGGAGGACACCCCUGUGGGACCUGUUUGAAGAGCGGGAGAACAGCAGCGACUCUUUGGACAACGAGGACGAGGAGAUGGUGACCUUUGAACUGAGCGAGAUGCUCCUCAUGCUCCUCGCCGCGGGAACCGACGACGACGUCACUGACUCGGAGGACGAAUGGGACUUGUUUCACGAAGAGCUGGACGAUAUCUACGAGAUUUACCUAUAGCACCACUCCCUAACGUUAACGUUGAAAACCCCUUUAUCGUUUUUGACUACUCCUCUUCACCUUUACCGCGCUGUAGAAUGGACUGUCUUGUGUGUUUGGACAGUAGCUUCUCUCCUCUGUGUUGUGGCAGUGUCUUUGGGGCAGGCCUUUUGGGGCAGGCCUUUGGGGCAGGCCUUUGGGGCAGGCCUUUUGGGGCAGGCCUUUUGGGGCAGGCCUUUUGGGGCAGGCCUUUUGAGGCAGGCCUUUUGAGGCAGGCCUUUUGAGGCAGGCCUUUUGGGGCAGGCCUUUUGAGGCAGGCCUUUUGGGGCAGGCCUUUUGAGGCAGGCCUUUUGAGGCAGGCCUUUUGGGGCAGGCCUUUCAUUCAGAAAUCAACUACAUGAAGAAGAAGGAAAAAUAAUUAACAGAUGAAAAAAACUAAUGUAAAUGAGAAACAGGUGGGUGUAAAACCAUUUUUCUAGAAACAUCCUGUCCUUGUGAAUUUAUCUAUCCGUGUCAGGUUCAUGUAAAAAAAUAAAAAAAUAACAACAUAAAAAAAAACAAGGGGAAAAAAUUACAAACAUUUUUGAAAAUAUCGCUAAUAAACAAUGUUUAUUUGUGGACGUGGGUUUGACUUACCGUUUUUACCCAGGUGAUGUUUUUAAGACUUUUUUUUUUUGUUGUUUUUGUUUUGAGGAUGAUGCACCAAAACCAACUCUACACAACUAUACUUCCUGGUGAUGAUGUCAUGUCUGUGGUGGUCAUGGGUAUUGUAGUCCUCUGGUCAUGCACUGAGUAUAUUGGGUGGAGGGAGACAGCAGUCCUGUCGACUUCCUAUAUUCACAUGUACCCUCUUGAUUCACUCUCUUUCCCUCCUCCCUCUCCUGUGGGUGGUGGGAACUCCCUCUGUCAGGGAGGGAGGGGGGAGGGGGGGGGGACUUCGGGGAACAACUUACAAUAUCUAAAGUUGUUCGUUUUAAAUGGGCCCAAGUCCACUUUCAUUUUACCCCCCCCCCCCCUCCCCGAUCGAAUUGCAGCUAUUAUUCAGGAACACCUGUGGUACCUAAUGACAAGUCUCUCCUCAGAACCGAGCUGAUAGUGACACUCGAUGACUCUGUGUCCCUAGUGGCGCCAUAUUGUGACGAUAUACUGAGUGGACAAAACAUUAGGAACACCUUCCCAAUAUUGUUGAACCUCAUUUAUUCGGGGGGGGGGGGGGGGGGAGAAUGAGCUCUACCAGGUCUGAUCCUUAUAGCGUAGGGCUCUAGUGAACUACCAGUGGUCUAGAGAGGGUGCCAUUUGGAACACAGUCCGGUCUGGUCACUACUACUUCUCUUUGAACUCCCAUUAGAAUGCACUAUAUAUUAUGAUUUCUUAUUGUUUUUCUAUGGUCCACAACCAUCCAUCAUGACUUGAAAUUAAAGUUUAUUAUCAAAGUUAGCAGGGUUGCUUUACUGAGUGGAAUUCAUUAUUGAUCAUUAAACGUGUGCUCUGAUAUUAUG
Long non-coding RNA from Oncorhynchus kisutch (coho salmon), 1863 nucleotides. RefSeq lists it as uncharacterized. The record is from RefSeq and is a predicted model, not a curated record. Lineage: Eukaryota; Metazoa; Chordata; Actinopteri; Salmoniformes; Salmonidae. The transcript is spliced from 2 exons.